GCCAGUGUGGUGUAAUGGUUUGAGCGCUGGACUACAACUCUGAAGACCAGAGUUCAAAUUCCUGCUUAGCCA
Non-coding RNA from Phrynosoma platyrhinos (Desert horned lizard), 72 nucleotides. The record is from the annotation of a GenBank genome assembly. Lineage: Eukaryota; Metazoa; Chordata; Lepidosauria; Squamata; Phrynosomatidae.